Molecule: long non-coding RNA, 1120 nt
Organism: Cygnus olor (mute swan)
Lineage: Eukaryota; Metazoa; Chordata; Aves; Anseriformes; Anatidae
Exons: 3
Source: RefSeq, a predicted model, not a curated record
UUACACUCAGUUGAAGCUCAAAUAAUUUCUGCUACAAUUAAAAACAGAUUCUGUGUCAAAUGGCACACAAUGAAGACUUUUGACUAGUAUUGAGAAUGAGAUACACAUAAAAACAUGAGAAUAAUAUUCUGUAUUUUAAAAGUACUUUCUUUCUGGGUCUCUGUGUAAGCCACCUUGCAAUUUCAUGGCAAAAGACUGAAAUUUCCUUAGAAUUUUGUCCUUUGCAGGCUCUCAAGUUUUAAAACAUUAUUCUUAGAGAUUGAGACUAGAAAACAGAAAUGUGAUUUGUACACACUGGGUUAGGUCUGAGGAAUCAACGGUCCUUUACCAAAGCUAUUGAAAUCAGAGGUGUGUCUGUGAUUACCAAAGAGAUCUUCCGGUGAUAAAAGAAGAAUUGCAUCAGCUUUUGGCUCAGCGUGUCAGAAUGACUCAGCAUCUCAGAAGAAUGUGUUUCCAUUUUCUUUCCGGUUGGAAGAUGGAGUUGGUCACUUCCUGGAACAGACUGAGCUUUGAGGAGACUGGUUUUCUAUGUGAAAUAUUGGCACCCAAUCUGCUGCUACAGAAGCCAACCCACUGAGGGCCCCAGCCGGACCCCAGGGACCCCAGCUGCACUCCUGCGGAUCACGAUGCACUCUUCCCUUUUUUGGACAUUGGGUGAAGCUCUUUGCUACUGCACAGCAAAAGGGGAUGCUAAUUCAGGCUGCGCAUGCAUUGGACCAAAUUCUGAUCUCAGACACCCACACAAUUCCUGUUGUAAGUCACAUGUGUGCACAUUUCUGACAGCAGGAUAUGCCCACUUGCACUGUCUUAAUGCAUCAGCAAGAGUGGUGAUUUUGUGGUGAAAAGUGGCCUUUUAACAGAACAAAAGUGUAAAGAAAUUAUUUUGUAAAACUUGGGGGCGUAGGCAGACUGAUAAUGUUCCUCUAACUGAAUUCCAAUGGGUAAAAUAAAAAAAAAAGGAAGCAAACCAAAGAUACUAAAACAAUUUUCUCACUUAAAAGGGAUUUUAAGAGAGACUGUCAAGCAUCCAGGGCAACUCUCUGCUUCCAAUAUGGGUUGAGGGACAUAUUUCAAUUUGAAAUUAGUUAGGGAGAUAUUUUAUAAUUUAUUCAAAUGGUCA